Mirounga angustirostris (Northern elephant seal) is the source of this 5105-nucleotide long non-coding RNA. RefSeq lists it as uncharacterized. The record is from RefSeq and is a predicted model, not a curated record. The transcript is spliced from 3 exons. Lineage: Eukaryota; Metazoa; Chordata; Mammalia; Carnivora; Phocidae.
UUGAUAAUCGUUGAACCUGGGUGAUGGGUUCACAGAGAAUCAUGUUUGAAAAUUUCCUUAAUAAAAAGUUACAAAAUAUUCUUUGCGGUGACAGGCAGUGGAUAUACAGUAAGACUAUUGGUAAAAUACAAUGAGUUUUGUCAUUCUGGUUGGUUUCUUCAGGAUUUACAUACUAAUAUUCAAUUCUGUAAUUUUAGGCAUUAGCUAGAGAAGACAUUGAUGAAGCUGUACAUGCAAUAUUAUUUAGAGAAAAUUACGUUGCGAAGGUAAGAGUUGGCUACGGACUGGAUUCUAGGUAAGCAAGAGUUGUGCAUGGCCAAGAGGAUGUUACUGUGUCACAGAGAUUCAUUUUGCUGGGAGAAGGAGCCUCCUCUGAUUCCUUUAUUUAUACAUCAUAGAUCUGAGAUUGCACCACCUCCUUGCAGGAUCACUAACAGGUCAGGAUUCCUAGAUCUGCCCGUAAGGGAUCCAAGAGAUUGUUCUGCUUCCCCUCUUUGUUCUGGUACUGAAUAGAAAUUCUUUCUGACUCAAACUUAUCUUUCUCAUAUAUUCCCACAUCACAAUGGGGCUAUGUUAAACCACCAGAAAUAGUAUUUAAGGGUAAUGACCAAUUAGUACUGAGAGUUACUAUGAAAUAAAUAAACUUAAAGGAGCUUUUUUUCCCCUUCUCUUUCUUUCUUUUUUUUUUUUUUGAGUAUGAGGGGGGAGGGGCAAAGAGAAAGGGAGAUAAUUUUUUUAAGAUUUAUUUAUUUUUGAGAGAGAGAGAGUGUGAGUGGGAGGGGGAAGGGCAGAGGGAGAGAAUCUCAAGCAGACUCCCCACUGAACUUGGAGCCUGAUGCAGGGCUGGAUCUCAGGACCCUAAAAUCAUGACCUGAGCUGAAAUCAAGAGUUGAACACUUAACCAACUAAGCUGCCUAGGCACCCCAAUAAACUUAAAGGAGUUUAAUUUUAAAGAUUGAUUGAUUUAUUUCAGAGAGAGAGUGAAUGGGGGGAGGGUAGUAGGAGAGAAUCUUUUUUUUUUUUUUAAAUGUCCUUUCAGUCUUUUUUUUUUUUUUAAAGAUUUUAUUUAUUUAUUUGAGACAGAGAGAAUGAGAUACAGAGAGCAUGAGAGGGAGGAGGGUCAGAGGGAGAAGCAGACUCCCUGCCAAGCAGGGACUCGAUCCCGGGACUCCAGGAUCAUGACCUGAGCCGAUGCGGGACUCGAUCCCGGGACUCCAGGAUCAUGACCUGAGCCGAAGGCAGUCGCUUAACCAACUGAGCCACCCAGGCGCCCUAUAGGAGAGAAUCUUCAAGCAGACUCCCCACAGAGCCCAACAAGGGGCUCCAUCUCAGGACCCAUGAGAUCAGGAUCUGAGCUGAAACCAAGAGCCAGAUGCUUAACCCACUGAGCCACCCAGGUGCCCCAAAGGAGUUUUAAUUUUAAUGAGAGAGAUUGAAACUUAGUGUUAAAAUGGUACUUUAAUGUUUGUAUUAUAAUUUAUAAAGGAAGUUCACAUAUAGUCUCGUUUGAGCAUCGAAAAGAGGUAGGUAGGAUUGGCCUCCUAUAGAUUCAGAGAGAGGUGCUUCAGCAAGUCUAGCGUACUCUACCAAUUUUGUCACAGACUUUACUGAGGAUGAAGCCUGGGGACAUGCCAUGGGUAACAGGAAAGCUUUGAAAUCCCUAAAAAGAAGCAAGAGUUUCAUGAGUAAGGAAUGGUUUGGCUGUGAUUUAACCUGAAGGCACACUUCUGGUUUAGAACUUUCCCUGGCUUCCUCCUGCUCAAUGCUCUCAGGUUCUCUUCCUGAACUUGAUUAUGUUCUUCAGUUAUCUCAUGCUAGAACCUUGCAACCCAAAUACGUUGAGAGCUUAGGAGUGGGAGUGAGUGUUUUCCCCCCUUGUUCAAAUGACAGUAAGUGAAAAACUUCUUAAUAAUUUGUUUUCCUUGUUUGUAUCAUUUCAUUAGAGAUUGGAUACAUAUUUUCAGCAUCUGGAUAUUUCUAAGGAAAGAAGAAAAGAGAUGUUACAUAAAAAAUGGAUUGAAAAUGUUGCAGAGCCUCUUCAGCAGAGAAUUACAGACAAAGUAAUUUCAUACAGAGGGUUGGAAAAAAUGAAACCAGAGAAUUUUGAACAACACACCAAUAAAAGGGAAAUUGUAUUUGGAGACCUUUCUGAUCCUGAAGUAUGCAAUCCUUUUUAUAUGGCAAAAACGGACCCAAAUUAUGGAAAGGUAAGUAAGAUUCAUUCAUUCAUUCAUUCAUUCUUGGAAGCUCUGGGGUUGUGGGAAAACCUAGUCAUUUUAGAAGCCUUGUAAUUACUCUGUAUUCAUUAAAAAAUCUACAGAAGCAUUUCCUCUGAGUUUUAGAACAGGAACCUACAGUAAUUUCACCCACUGGGGAAUAUACAUGUGUGUGUUCCUUCACUCCCAUUCGGCAAACUGGAAGCCCAGGAGGGAGAGGAAGACAUGGACAGCGAGUGCAGUGGGGUGUGACAGGUGUCACAGUGCGCGGGCACUGGCCCAAGAGGCAGAACUCCUUUCUGUGGAAAGUGGAAGGAGGGAUGCUGGAAAGGCUGCCCAGAGAACCAGUAGUUGGGCUGGUAAUAAGUCUUCACAUUUCAAAUUCACCAAUAGAGGAGUUAAAAUUUUGAGAUGUAGGUUCCAGCAUUUUACUCCUGUGUAGCAAAAGUAGCCACCUGGUAUUAGAGGUCAUUUAAAAAAUAUGUGUGGCUCUGAAGAGGGAAGUGGUGUUUUGUGUUUUUGUUUUGCUUCUCCCAGAAAACCAAGGCAGAUCAUUGUUAUGAAGAUAAGAAGGUUCUUUUGGCUCUGGGAGAUUUGCUAGUAUGGUGUUGGUCAGUCAUUUUGCUGCCUUGCUUAUUCAGUAACUGUUUACCUCAUACAUACUUUGGGGACCAGCAUCGGGCUGGGUGUAUGGGGGAAAGUGAAGAAGGGGAAAAUAGCCCCUAGUCUAAAGCUUAUAAUCAGGAAUGGGGAGGAGAAAACCACCUUUCUCUGCAUCCUCUGGUAGCCCAGCCUCUUGACACUCCCCACACUGAGGUUCCCUGCCCUUCUGUUCUCAUAGAUCCUUAAAGACCGCUUGUCAGGUCUCCUGGGAGCUCUCUUACUGCCAGGCCACCUAGGAGCGCUGCCUUGUGCUCCUAAAGCAUCCUGAGCUGAUACCUCUCAUGACUAGAUUGUCACUGUGUAUGACUUUCUGUUCCAGACUGAGAUCCUUGAGGAUAGGAACUCAUUGGGAUGUGGCACAAAGUGGUGUCAACAAAUAUUUAUUGGCCAAUGCAAUAGAACUCUGGACACAGUAUGUUGCUUCUAUCUGGGUGGCCCUCCCUCCAGUCAGCCACUCCCGGAUCAGCAAAUUUCCUAUCGUAAGACAGAUGACAUUUACCCUUUCCCUGCUCUGUGGAUUGACAUUAUUCAUGGGUCCUUAUUCUUUGAUGUACAGUAAGGUCAUACUUGAAUGCUUCCGACAGAUUUAGAGAGCUUAAUACAAACUGUACUAGGAUUCUCAAAGUUAUUUUUCUUCUGGGUUAUGGUCCCUUCAUUUUGUGAUCCUCUGUUUAGAAGACAGCAAGAGAUGGAUGAAGAGAAGAGAGCUGUUUUUUUUUUUUUUUUUUUUUUUAUUUGAGACAGAGAGAAUGAGAGAGAGAGAGAGCACAUGAGAGGGGGGAGGGUCAGAGGCAGAAGCAGGCUCCCUGCCAAGCAGGGAGCCCAAUGCGGGACUCGAUCCAGGGACUCCAGGAUCAUGACCUGAGCCGAAGGCAGUCGCUUAACCAACUGAGCCACCCAGGCGCCCCGAGAGCUGUUUUUCAAUAUAAGACAGGUACUUUGUGAUCACUGAGCUUUAUUUUUAGAGACUUCUAAUUGUCCAGUGAUUUCCUACCCCAGGAGUGACUAGAAUUGACUUUAAGAGUGUUGAUUUAGUUUUUUUUUGUUUGUUUGUUUUUUUAAUCUUCCUGUAGGAAAAGGAUAUACCUUAAAAGAAUUUAAAGACCUAGAGAAGGCUGGGCUUUAUGCCAAAUUGCCCCAGUUCACUUUUACUCUACAUAGUGUUAUUCCAAAAGAGUGGCAUAAAACCUCUGCGAGAUCUGUGAUAAGCAGAACUCAUAGUAAAUGCAGAUAGGUUUGGGGAAGGCUGUCUGGACUCAGGGCCUGGAGGGUCUCCAUCCCCCACGGGGACCCUAUCGCAAUGCACUGCUUGACGUGCCUACCACUGGGAGGAAGAUGUUGAGAACAAGGUUAACUACCUACCUGCCAAGAUAGCAACCAGACCUGGGAGAAAAAAUACACCAAAGAUAUGCUGGGACCAUGCAGGAAUCAGUCCAUACCUUGCUACCCGAGGUUGGCAAAUUCCCUCAGCAGAGAAAAUAGACAGGGAUGGCUAGCUCAUUCUGAAAGAGUUCUCUCCUCUCUGAAAUUGUCCAAUGACUUUAAAAUUAGGAAUUUUUUUUCUAGGGGUAGUGGUAAAUAUCUGUUUUUCUAGUUGUUGCAGCAGGAGUAUUGGCCCGUGCAAACUUGUAAGUUCUACACAAAAAAAUAGAAGUCCUGUCAUGCUCUCUUGAUAUUUCCUUUUUGUCUCUCACUCUGAGUUUUGCUGGACUGAACAGUGCUGCUUUCUGUUUCCCCUUCUGAUUUGGAAAUUUUAUGUUUUGUUUCUGUUUUCUUGGCUUCUUUAUAAAUUUUAACAAUUUUAAUUUAAACAUUAAUAAUUAUAUAACUCCCUACCCCCCCAGUGAGACAAAGCCUUUAUUUCCUCAUUCCCCCACUUUCUUGCUCCUCAGCUCCUUUAGUCUGGUGUCCUCUAGUGAAUACUCCACCUUGCAGCUGGAGAAAUCUCUCUGAAAUGAUCAACCCUCUCCAACUGAAAACCCUUCAGUAGUUUUCCAUAACCCUUACAAUAACGUCCAGGCUCUUAACAUAGCACAUUAGAUGCUGUCUGGACCCUGCCACCCUUUCUGUCUUCAUCUACAAAAUCCCUUUCCCUUAAAGAAAAGACAUAUGAAUAAACUACAAAAAUAUCUGGGUCAAGUCAGCACCAUUAUAACUGCCUGAACUGCCACAUUGGUUCAUGCCUUUGCCCCUUCUUUUCAUUGCUGGCCAUCCCAAUCCAGGCAA